AUCAGGCGAUCGUUUGGUUCAAAGGGGGACCGAGGCCUGGCUUCAUGAAGCCCGCGCUAUCAGCGUUGGUGAUAACGGCCCCAAGGCUGACGGGUAUGGUCUGAGGACGACCCCACACUGACUGAGACGGUCCAGACCUACGGGGCAGCAGUAGAAUUUUACAAUGGGAAACCCUGGGAGCGACCGCGUGGGAUGAAUGGUCGGCCCGAACCCCUGAUUCGGGAAAUGCCUGAUUUAAAAUGGUAGGUAUAGUACCAAGAGGAAGACGGCUAUCUGUGCCCAGCCGCGAAUACAGAUCCCAAGCUGUUCGGAUACUGGGCAAAGGGUGUARGUGGUGGUAAGUCAUGUGAAAUCGGAGCUAACUCCGACGGCAUUGGAUACUAUUCA
This 387-nucleotide ribosomal RNA is filed under the name uncultured bacterium. Its description in RNAcentral is "partial 16S ribosomal RNA". The record is from RNAcentral.